AUUCCCCACCAUUAAACACCACCUUUUAUCUUGAUCCAAAAUUAAAAGAAAUUGAAUGGCCAUUUGCUGUUUUCUACAGCAAUUGAGUCAAAACCCCAACGCCCCAUGUUCUCUCCUUAUUUGGCCGACAAAAGAACCAAAACCUUAGCACCUUUUUGAUUCUCAUCAGAUCUAACCCAAAAACUCUCACUAAUCGCCAUGACACCCUUGUAUUUGAUGAUUGGCGAUGAAUAUAUGCCUCACUUUCACCCCUUUUGAAACCACAACCCAUGGAUUGCCGAUUUUAACUUCGAAUUCCCCACCUCAAGCUUCGAUUGUGACAAAGGAGUUAGGGACUCCGACGGUGUUUUAUGAAGGAGUAGUCGUACAAAGACACGAACAGAGACGCGCGCGAGGAACUAGUGGCGCACGUGUGGUGCUAGAGACCGACUGCUAGUUGCGGCGUGAGGGGAGAUGGCUAGCUGCUGGUGUUUUCCAAAAGCCUCUAGGUUUUUUUUCAGUUAUUGGGCCUUUUUUCGGGUCAUUUUGGGUCUCAGGUUUGGGCCCGUAAAUGGGUUAGGUUUGGAUUAAUAGAUUUGGGUUUAAUUUAAUAGGCUAUGGGGUUAAGUUUAUUGAAUCAUGGACUGUUUUGGACUAAUGGACUUUUAUUGUUUUUAUUUUGGUUUAUUUUUGUUUUUUAAUUUUUGGUUUUUUGGUUUUCUAAUGGGCCCGGGCGAAAUGGGUCUAUUACACGUAUUAUAAUCCACUUUAUCAAGAAAUUCGUUUUCUUAUGACAAA
Molecule: long non-coding RNA, 777 nt
Organism: Gossypium arboreum
Lineage: Eukaryota; Viridiplantae; Streptophyta; Magnoliopsida; Malvales; Malvaceae
Exons: 2
Source: RefSeq, a predicted model, not a curated record